ACGCUCGACACCUACGGGAGGCAGCAGUGGGGAAUAUUGCACAAUGGGGGAAACCCUGAUGCAGCGACGCCGCGUGAGCGAAGAAGUAUUUCGGUAUGUAAAGCUCUAUCAGCAGGGAAGAAAAUGACGGUACCUGACUAAGAAGCCCCGGCUAACUACGUGCUAGCAGCCGCGGUAAUCUGAGCGGGCUGGCAAGGC
Molecule: ribosomal RNA, 198 nt
Filed under: uncultured bacterium
Lineage: Bacteria
Description: partial 16S ribosomal RNA
Rfam family: Bacterial small subunit ribosomal RNA
Source: RNAcentral